Dicentrarchus labrax (European seabass) is the source of this 884-nucleotide long non-coding RNA. RefSeq lists it as uncharacterized. The transcript is spliced from 4 exons. NCBI's taxonomy places the organism in Eukaryota, Metazoa, Chordata, Actinopteri, Moronidae. The record is from RefSeq and is a predicted model, not a curated record.
UACCCUGGUGUGUGUGUGUGUGUGUGUGUGUGUGUGUGUGUGUGUUAUAAUGCACAGACAGCACUGGGCUAUCAUUAUGGACACUGGACUUAAUGAAUAAUCAUGUCCCUGUCAAAGACCAGAGCAGAGUGCAGCAGGGAUUUAUAAUAUUUGUACAUAAACACAGUCGCUGCUGGAACAGAGCCAUGUUAGCGUGGCACUUUCUCAAUAACAGGGCAAACACAAACGUACAGCAUUAAAGGUUUCAUGUGAACUAAACCUUACAAACAUUAACCCGGACCCGGAUCUGACUCCAGAGUAAAGCUCAGUGACAUCAGAGUGAGCGUCAGUCAGUGGAGUCAGCUAUAACUGAGAAGCGCUGUGUCAUUGGCUCAUGUGGACAUCAUUACACUGACCCCAUGGGAACACAUGAGCUGGACUUCCAGGUAAACCUGUAAAGAAAACAUUGAAGUGGAACCAUGCUGUGACUACUAUUCUCUGCUCUGCGCAAUGCUGCUGUGUGGAUAGUUUCCUGCUGUGGCUCCUCAAACAGGGACAAGACAGUAACAGGAUGACCCUACCAGUGUAAAGGGCAGAAGGUGUGGACCAUCUCUAAUGAUGAAACAACACCUAAUCAAAACCCUCUCUAAGUGAACAGAAGAGAUGCCCACAUUUCCCCCACCACCUUGUUUAUCUCUGAAGCUUAUUCACUUGCAGCAUGUUGAUCUGUAGUUGCUCUGUACUUGUUAUAAUGAUGACUUGUCUGAAAACUCCUUGGGGAGUUGGAUAAUGUCUGACAGCUGACAAGUGCUGGGGUGGCUUACAUCUACUAUUUAUAUGGUAGACAUGCAAUGUGGUCAGCACUGCAAAUUAAUCCAAUGAAUUAAAUAAAUGGUUGUUAAUCA